RNAcentral lists this ribosomal RNA (426 nucleotides) under uncultured bacterium. RNAcentral describes it as "bacterial SSU rRNA". It matches the Rfam family "Bacterial small subunit ribosomal RNA", at positions 356 to 774 of the family's 1533-position model. The record is from RNAcentral.
UGGGAAUUUUGGACAAUGGGCGCAAGCCUGAUCCAGCCAUGCCGCGUGCGGGAAGAAGGCCUUCGGGUUGUAAACCGCUUUUGUCAGGGAAGAAAUCCUUUGAGCUAAUGCCUCGGGGGGAUGACGGUACCUGAAGAAUAAGCACCGGCUAACUACGUGCCAGCAGCCGCGGUAAUACGUAGGGUGCAAGCGUUAAUCGGAAUUACUGGGCGUAAAGCGUGCGCAGGCGGUUAUGCAAGGCAGAGGUGAAAUCCCCGGGCUCAACCUGGGAACUGCCUUUGUGACUGCAUAGCUAGAGUACGGUAGAGGGGGAUGGAAUUCCGCGUGUAGCAGUGAAAUGCGUAGAUAUGCGGAGGAACACCGAUGGCGAAGGCAGCCUCCUGGGCCAGUACUGACGCUCAUGCACGAAAGCGUGGGGAGCAAACA